Molecule: ribosomal RNA, 546 nt
Filed under: uncultured Acidobacteriota bacterium
Lineage: Bacteria; Pseudomonadati; Acidobacteriota
Description: SSU rRNA
Rfam family: Bacterial small subunit ribosomal RNA
Source: RNAcentral
CAGCUAGUUGGUGGGGUAAUGGCUCACCAAGGCAACGAUCAGUAUCCGGCCUGAGAGGGCGGACGGACACACUGGGACUGAGACACGGCCCAGACUCCUACGGGAGGCAGCAGUGGGGAAUUGUUCGCAAUGGGCGCAAGCCUGACGACGCAACGCCGCGUGGAGGAUGAAGACCUUCGGGUCGUAAACUCCUUUCGAUCGAGACGAAUGGCCUUCGGGUGAAUAGUCCGGAGGAGUGACGGUACCGAGAGAAGAAGCCCCGGCUAACUCCGUGCCAGCAGCCGCGGUAAUACGGGGGGGGCAAGCGUUGUUCGGAAUUACUGGGCGUAAAGGGCUCGUAGGUGGCCAACUAAGUCAGACGUGAAAUCCCUCGGCUUAACCGGGGAACUGCGUCUGAUACUGGAUGGCUUGAGUUUGGGAGAGGGAUGCGGAAUUCCAGGUGUAGCGGUGAAAUGCGUAGAUAUCUGGAGGAACACCGGUGGCGAAGGCGGCAUCCUGGACCAACACUGACGCUGAGGAGCGAAAGCCAGGGGAGCAAACGGGAUU